RNAcentral lists this ribosomal RNA (1669 nucleotides) under human gut metagenome. RNAcentral's name for it is "bacterial LSU rRNA". It matches the Rfam family "Bacterial large subunit ribosomal RNA", at positions 1378 to 2925 of the family's 2925-position model. The record is from RNAcentral.
GGUGAGUCGGGUCCUAAGGCGAGGCCGACAGGCGUAGUCGAAUGGAUGAACGGGUCGAUAUUCCCGUACCGGCUUUCAGCCGCCAAAACCGAGGCUUGGAGUACUAACCUCCGGGUCCGGGCUUACUGCUCCUUCGGGGGCGGGAUGCCCUGGCCUGUUGGGACCGAUCCUUGUAGUAGGUCAGCGCAGGAGUGACGCAGAAGGGUAGCCGGCCGCGGAGGUGGUCUUCCGUGGUCAAGCACGCAGGGCGUGGGACAGGCAAAUCCGUCCCGCAUGGGUCCGAGGUGCGAUGAUGGGGGCCUUAUGGCCCGAUAUCCGGUGAUCCCGGCUGCCGAGAAAAGCUUCGGCGUCAGGCUCAAAGCCGCCCGUACCCCAAACCGACACUGGUGGUCAGGUAGAGAAUACCAAAGCGAUCGAGCGAAUCCUGGUCAAGGAACUCGGCAAAUCACUCCCGUUCCUUCGGUUUAAGGGAGACCCCCGAUGGUGAACACACUUGCUGUGGGAGCUUUUGGGGGUGGCACAGACCAGGGGGUAGCGACUGUUUACCAAAAACACAGGUGCAUGCGAAGGCGCAAGCCGCUGUAUAUGCACUGACGCCUGCCCGGUGCCGGAAGGUUAAGAGGAUCCGUCAGCCUUCGGGUGAAGCGGUGAAUUCAAGCCCCGGUAAACGGCGGUGGUAACUAUAACCAUCCUAAGGUAGCGAAAUUCCUUGUCGGGUAAGUUCCGACCUGCACGAAUGGCGUAACGACUUCCCCACUGUCUCGACCAGGAGCUCGGCGAAAUUGCAGUACGAGUAAAGAUGCUCGUUAAGCGCAGAAGGACGAAAAGACCCCGGGACCUUUACUAUACCUUGGUAUUGGCAUUCGGUGUGGAUUGUGUAGCAUAGGCGGGAGGCCGAGAGGCGCGGUCGCCAGAUCGCGCGGAGCCGUAAGGUGAAAUACCGCUCUGUUCGCAUUGGAUGUCUAACCUCGAACAGUCAUCCUGUUCAGGGACAGUGCCUGGCGGGUAGUUUAACUGGGGCGGUUGCCUCCCAAAGAGUAACGGAGGCGCCCAAAGGUCCGCUCAGCCCGGUUGGCAAUCGGGUGGCGAGUGCAAGUGCACAAGCGGGCUUGACUGCGAGGACGACGGUCCGAGCAGGGACGAAAGUCGGGACUAGUGAUCCGGUGCCGGUGUACGGACGCGGCAUCGCUCAACGGAUAAAAGGUACCCCGGGGAUAACAGGCUGAUCAUUCCCAAGAGUCCAUAUCGACGGGAUGGUUUGGCACCUCGAUGUCGGCUCGUCGCAUCCUGGGGCUGGAGCAGGUCCCAAGGGUUCGGCUGUUCGCCGAUUAAAGCGGCACGCGAGCUGGGUUCAGAACGUCGUGAGACAGUUUGGUCUCUAUCCUCUGCGCUCGUUGGAAUGCUGAGGAGGCCUGCCCAUAGUACGAGAGGACCUGGGUGGACGAACCUCUGGUAUGCCGGUUGUCACGCCAGUGGCACGGCCGGUUGGCUACGUUCGGAAGGGAUAACCGCUGAAAGCAUCUAAGCGGGAAGCCUGCUCCAAGAUAAGCAUUCCGUGGAACCUUCGAGUUCCUGUAGUCCCCAUGCAGAACACGUGGUCGAUAGGCCGGACGUGGAAGCCCCGCGAGGGGUGGAGCCGACCGGUACUAACGGACGAAAGGCAACACUA